RNAcentral lists this long non-coding RNA (363 nucleotides) under Brassica napus (rape). RNAcentral's name for it is "long non-coding RNA (BNAP_LNC002857)". Lineage: Eukaryota; Viridiplantae; Streptophyta; Magnoliopsida; Brassicales; Brassicaceae. The record is from RNAcentral.
UGGUGUGUAUAAUUGCUUCUUAACGUUUCAUUAGCUUAUGAUGAUGUAUUUAUUGUAUCUCAGAUUGAUGAGUUGCAUGGCCAGUUUGUGGAAGCGCUUAAGGAUCUGUUUGAGAGGCACAAGGCCGGAGCAGGCUACUCUGAUCUGCAGUUAAACAUUCUUUAAACAAAUUUUCUGAAAUUGGAAAUUAUUGUCUUUAUGAAUCAUCCUUAAAAUCAUUUCUUGUUACCUUGCCCGUGGCAUUAACCUGUGUAUGUCACAUCGAGUUUGCAGCAGUGUAUAAUAUAGCAAACCUGCUUAUACAUGUGUUCUUCAUGUGUCUCUUAUAUUGAUUGACAGAGAAUAUACAGUUUUUGUGUUUUG